RNAcentral lists this ribosomal RNA (478 nucleotides) under uncultured bacterium. RNAcentral's name for it is "partial 16S ribosomal RNA". It matches the Rfam family "Bacterial small subunit ribosomal RNA", at positions 28 to 507 of the family's 1533-position model. The record is from RNAcentral.
GAUGAACGCUGGCGGCGUGCUUAACACAUGCAAGUCGAACGGGAAUUAUUUUAUUGAAACUUCGGUCGAUUUAAUUUAAUUCUAGUUGCGGGCGGGUGAGUAACGCGUGGGUAACCUGCCUUAUACAGGGGGAUAACAGUCAGACAUGGCUGCUAAUACCGCAUAAGCGCACAGAGCUGCAUGGCUCAGUGUGAAAAACUCCGGUGGUAUAAGAUGGACCCGCGUUGGAUUAGCUGGUGGGUGGGGUCACGGCCCACCAAGGCGACGAUGCGUAGCCGGGCGGAGAGGGGGAACGGCUACAUUGGGACUGAGACACGGCCCAGACUCGGACGGGAGGGAGCAGUGGGGAAUAUUGCACAAGGGGGGAAACCCUGAUGCAGCGACGCCGCGUGAAGGAAGAAGUAUCUCGGUAUGUAAACUUCUAUCAGCAGGGAAGAUAGUGACGGUACCUGACUAAGAAGCCCCGGCUAACUACGUG